CGGCAAUCACUUAUAUGAACCCCUAUUGCAGUGGAUGACCAGCCCUCAUCAUUCUCACCGAGUUCUUAACGCCGGCGAGUAUGGUCAAAAAAAAGUCGUCAGAAGCUCUAUAACCACCACCAGCCAAGCUGCUCUGAUAGUCAGCUACUGCUUGCUAACAAAGUAGUUGCCAUUGUUGUAAGAGGUCACAGAUAUGCAGCCUGGAAAUUGGCCCUGACUGGAAAAGAUGUUUGGAUAUAGGGCCGCCUCGCGUUUGCCAGUUAGCCAUUAUUCCGCCCUCAGCAAUGACACUGAAGCAGGGAGCAUAGAGAAUCAUAUUCCAUGUUUAUGGCACAGGUGAAGAAGAAUCUGAAGAAAAAUUG
This 362-nucleotide small RNA is filed under the name Histoplasma capsulatum var. duboisii H88. RNAcentral describes it as "Histoplasma capsulatum H88 hypothetical RNA". The record is from RNAcentral. Lineage: Eukaryota; Fungi; Ascomycota; Eurotiomycetes; Onygenales; Ajellomycetaceae.